RNAcentral lists this ribosomal RNA (305 nucleotides) under uncultured bacterium. RNAcentral describes it as "partial 16S ribosomal RNA". It matches the Rfam family "Bacterial small subunit ribosomal RNA", at positions 508 to 807 of the family's 1533-position model. The record is from RNAcentral.
ACAGCAGCCGCCGCGGGAAAACAGAGGGUGCAAGCGUUAAUCGGAAUUACUGGGCGUAAAGCGCGCGUAGGUGGUUUGUUAAGUUGGAUGUGAAAGCCCCGGGCUCAACCUGGGAACUGCAUCCAAAACUGGCAAGCUAGAGUACGGUAGAGGGUGGUGGAAUUUCCUGUGUAGCGGUGAAAUGCGUAGAUAUAGGAAGGAACACCAGUGGCGAAGGCGACCACCUGGACUGAUACUGACACUGAGGUGCGAAAGCGUGGGGAGCAAACAGGAUUAGAUACCCGCGUAGUCCCUGUCUCUUAUAC